CGGUAGCCCAAAGAGCUUGCUCUCCGGUGACAAGGGGCGGACGGGUGAUUAAUGUCUGGGAAACUGCCUGAUGGAGGGGGAUACCUACUGGAAACGGUAGCUAAUACCGCAUAAUGUCCCAAGACCAAAGAGGGGGACCUUCGGGCCUCUUGCCAUCAGAUGUGCCCAGAUGGGAUUACCUAGUAGGUGGGGUAACGGCUCACCUAGGCGACGAUCCCUAGCUGGUCUGAGAGGAUGACCAGCCACACUGGAACUGAGACACGGUCCAAACUCCUACGGGAGGCAGCAGUGGGGAAUAUUGCACAAUGGGCGCAAGCCUGAUGCACCCAUGCCGCGUGUAUGAAGAAGGCCUUCGGGUUGUAAAGUACUUUCAGCGGGGAGGAAGGUGUUGUGGUUAAUAACCACAGCAAUUGACGUUACCCGCAGAAAAAGCACCGGCUAACUCCGUGCCAGCAACCGCGGUAAUACGGAGGGUGCAAGCGUUAAUCGGAAUUACUGGGCGUAAAGCGCACGCAGGCGGUCUGUCAAGUCGGAUGUGAAAUCCCCGGGCUCAACCUGGAAACUGC
RNAcentral lists this ribosomal RNA (566 nucleotides) under Enterobacter cloacae. RNAcentral's name for it is "bacterial SSU rRNA". It matches the Rfam family "Bacterial small subunit ribosomal RNA", at positions 67 to 624 of the family's 1533-position model. Lineage: Bacteria; Pseudomonadati; Pseudomonadota; Gammaproteobacteria; Enterobacterales; Enterobacteriaceae. The record is from RNAcentral.